GACGAACGCUGGCGGCGUGCUUAACACAUGCAAGUCGAACGGAAAGGCCCUGCUUUUGUGGGGUGCUCGAGUGGCGAACGGGUGAGUAACACGUGAGUAACCUGCCCUUGACUUUGGGAUAACUUCAGGAAACUGGGGCUAAUACCGGAUAGGAGCUCCUGCUGCAUGGUGGGGGGUGGAAAGUUUCGGCGGUUGGGGAUGGACUCGCGGCUUAUCAGCUUGUUGGUGGGGUAGUGGCUUGCCAAGGCUUUGACGGGUAGCCGGCCUGAGAGGGUGACCGGCCACAUUGGGCCUGAGAUACGGCCCAGACUCCUACGGGAGGCAGCAGUGGGGAAUAUUGCACAAUGGGCGGAAGCCUGAUGCAGCAACGCCGCGUGCGGGAUGACGGCCUUCGGGUUGUAAACCGCUUUCGCCUGUGACGAAGCGUGAGUGACGGUAAUGGGUAAAGAAGCACCGGCUAACUACGUG
This 468-nucleotide ribosomal RNA is filed under the name uncultured bacterium. RNAcentral describes it as "partial 16S ribosomal RNA". It matches the Rfam family "Bacterial small subunit ribosomal RNA", at positions 28 to 507 of the family's 1533-position model. The record is from RNAcentral.